This 499-nucleotide ribosomal RNA is filed under the name uncultured Oscillospiraceae bacterium. Its description in RNAcentral is "partial 16S ribosomal RNA". The record is from RNAcentral. Lineage: Bacteria; Bacillati; Bacillota; Clostridia; Eubacteriales; Oscillospiraceae.
CACGUAGUUAGCCGUGGCUUAUUCCUGGGGUACCGUCAUUUGUUCGUCCCCCAGAAAAGAAGUUUACAACCCGAAAGCCUUCUUCCUUCACGCGGCGUUGCUGGGUCGGGCUUGCGCCCAUUGCCCAAUAUUCCCCACUGCUGCCUCCCGUAGGAGUCUGGGCCGUGUCUCAGUCCCAAUGUGGCCGGCCAACCUCUCAGUCCGGCUACUGAUCGUCGCCUUGGUGGGCCGUUACCCCGCCAACCAGCUAAUCAGACGCGAGCUCAUCUCAGAGCGAUAAAUCUUUGACAGUCAGAGAGAUGCCUCCCAACUGUAUCAUGCGGUAUUAGCGGCUGUUUCCAGCCGUUAUUCCCCACUCCAAGGCAGAUUGCUCACGCGUUACUCACCCGUCGCCACUUUCCUCAGUUUCAUUUUGGACGAAUCCUCAAUCCACUGAUUCUCGUUCGACUUGCAUGUGUUAAGCACGCCGCAGCGUUCAUCCUGAGCCAGGAUCAAACUU